UGUUUGCUGUUGAGCCCUUUCAGGUU
RNAcentral lists this small RNA (26 nucleotides) under Bombyx mori (domestic silkworm). RNAcentral describes it as "ovarian small RNA-36260". Lineage: Eukaryota; Metazoa; Arthropoda; Insecta; Lepidoptera; Bombycidae. The record is from RNAcentral.